UACGUAGGGGGCAAGCGUUGUCCGGAUUCAUUGGGCGUAAAGAGCGUGUAGGCGGCCAGGUAGGUCUGCUGUGAAAACUCGAGGCUCAACCUCGAGACGUCGGCGGAAACCAUCUGGCUAGAGUCCGGAAGAGGAGAGUGGAAUUCCUGGUGUAGCGGUGAAAUGCGCAGAUAUCAGGAAGAACACCCGUGGCGAAGGCGGCUCUCUGGGACGGUACUGACGCUGAGGUGCGAAAGCGUGGGGAGCAAACAGG
Molecule: ribosomal RNA, 253 nt
Filed under: uncultured bacterium
Lineage: Bacteria
Description: partial 16S ribosomal RNA
Rfam family: Bacterial small subunit ribosomal RNA
Source: RNAcentral